RNAcentral lists this transfer RNA (76 nucleotides) under Planctomycetota bacterium. RNAcentral describes it as "Planctomycetes bacterium (bioreactor metagenome) tRNA-Ala". It matches the Rfam family "tRNA". From Rfam's summary of the family: Transfer RNA (tRNA) molecules are approximately 80 nucleotides in length. The record is from RNAcentral. Lineage: Bacteria; Pseudomonadati; Planctomycetota.
GGGUGGCUAGCUCAGUUGGGAGAGCGCUACGUUCGCAACGUAGAGGUCAUCGGUUCAACUCCGUUGCCAUCCACCA